CGGUAACAGGACGAAUAUUGCUUUUAUGCUGACGAGUGGCGAACGACUAAAUCGUAUCUCGGAAACUGCCUGAUGCAGGUGGAUAUUUGAUGGAAACGGUUG
RNAcentral lists this ribosomal RNA (102 nucleotides) under Escherichia coli. RNAcentral describes it as "partial 16S ribosomal RNA". The record is from RNAcentral. Lineage: Bacteria; Pseudomonadati; Pseudomonadota; Gammaproteobacteria; Enterobacterales; Enterobacteriaceae.